AUUCUGCCCAAGCGGGUAAGGAUGAGAAGCUUCGACCAAGGUUCGACUUGAGCGCCAGCGAGAGAGCGUUGCCGCAGGCAACGACCCGAAGGGCGAAGCGCGCAGCGCUGAGUAAUCCUUCCCCCACCACCA
Molecule: small RNA, 132 nt
Filed under: Escherichia coli
Lineage: Bacteria; Pseudomonadati; Pseudomonadota; Gammaproteobacteria; Enterobacterales; Enterobacteriaceae
Description: RtT sRNA
Rfam family: RtT RNA
About the family: This family represents a bacterial cis-regulatory element known as RtT RNA. The exact function of RtT is unknown although it is thought that it may be involved in changing the cellular response in relation to amino acid starvation.
Source: RNAcentral